Pelobates cultripes (western spadefoot toad) is the source of this 810-nucleotide non-coding RNA. The record is from the annotation of a GenBank genome assembly. NCBI's taxonomy places the organism in Eukaryota, Metazoa, Chordata, Amphibia, Anura, Pelobatidae.
CUUAACCCCUGUUAAAUUUACCUGUAUGCAAAGAUUUCACCUAAUGUUCCUAUGCAUGUGUGUGUUACAGCACACGAAUGCCGCUAACACACUGAUUCAAGUUUCACAAACAGUGGAUUCCAACCCUGUUUGUGAAACGAACAAAAGACUGAAUGGGAGACCACCCCAGAAGGUCGUGUGUCGCUCGUUAGUAAAACUGAAACAUUGUAUCCAUCCGUUAAUGAGCGUUCUGUGUGUGGCCGCCGUUCGUGUACCGAACACGUGGCGGCGGCCAUCUUUGCUUUGUUAGAGUUCAGCGGUGUUUGGUCGUCGAGUGCCUGGAACCGAAAUUGGCAAACACAGCUGGACUUUCGGGAAACUCUCUCCUCCGGGAAAAUAAAACCAUUUGCUAAAACCCAGUUGUUUUUUUCGGUUGUUUCUGCAGGGAUCAGAGCGGUACUUUGGUAUUUUGAACCGAUCGAUCCCUGCAAUCUAAUGAGGGGUCAUUCGGUAAAAUAUGUGGUGAAUUGCCAAAGUUAGUGAAUUUAAUGUAAAAUUUUACUUUUUCCUGUGCCUGUUAGUAAUGUAAUUAUCUGUGCCUGCUGACGUCAUCUAGGUCCCUGUACGGUAGGGAAUGCUGGGAAAUGAUCUUGCAUGGUCAGUUUCCCACACAGUCCCCAUGAUUAAAACCCCUGCUGUAACAGUUCAGAAACCCCUUGCAUGGGGAACAGUAUAAAUUUGGUCACUUCUCAAUAAAGCCCUCAGUUGACCUCUAAGCUAUGUGUCGUCUAGUUCUUGGGAGAAAGGGAUUGUAACUAUGCUACCUGCAUU